UCUGGUUGAUCCUGCCGGACCCGACUGCUAUCAGAGUGGGACUAAGCCAUGCGAGUCAACGUAGCAAUGCGUGGCGAACGGCUCAGUAACACGUAGUCAACAUGCCCAGGGGACGUGGAUAACCUCGGGAAACUGAGAUUAAACCGCGAUAGGUCAAGAUUUCUGGAAUGGAUCGUGUCUUAAAUCUACAUGGCCCCUGGAUUGGACUGCGGCCGAUCAGGCUGUUGGUGAGGUAAUGGCCCACCAAACCUAUAACCGGUACGGGCUCUGAGAGGAGAAGCCCGGAGAUGGGCACUGAGACAAGGGCCCAGGCCCUAUGGGGCGCAGCAGGCGCGAAACCUCUGCAAUGGGCGAAAGCCUGACAGGGUUACUCUGAGUGAUUUCCGCUAAGGAGAUCUUUUGGCAGCUCUAAAAAUGGUGCAGAAUAAGGGGUGGGCAAGUCUGGUGUCAGCCGCCGCGGUAAUACCAGCACCCCGAGUGGUCGGGACGAUUAUUGGGCCUAAAGCAUCCGUAGCCGGUUGUGCAAGUCCUCCGUUAAAUCCAGCCGCUCAACGGAUGGGCUGCGGAGGAUACUACAGAACUAGGAGGCGGGAGAGGCAAGCGGUACUUAGUGGGUAGGGGUAAAAUCCUUUGAUCCAUUGAAGACCACCAGUGGCGAAGGCGGCUUGCCAGAACGCGCUCGACGGUGAGGGAUGAAAGCUGGGGGAGCAAACCGGAUUAGAUACCCGGGUAGUCCCAGCUGUAAACGAUGCAGACUCGGUGAUGGGCUAGCCUCGUGUCAGCCCAGUGCCGCAGGGAAGCCGUUAAGUCUGCCGCCUGGGGAGUACGGUCGCAAGACUGAAACUUAAAGGAAUUGGCGGGGGAGCACCACAAGGGGUGAAGCCUGCGGUUCAAUUGGAGUCAACGCCGGGGACUCUAGGAGAUCCCGGGUACGACUCGAU
RNAcentral lists this ribosomal RNA (941 nucleotides) under uncultured archaeon. Its description in RNAcentral is "bacterial SSU rRNA". It matches the Rfam family "Archaeal small subunit ribosomal RNA", at positions 1 to 959 of the family's 1478-position model. The record is from RNAcentral.